Molecule: ribosomal RNA, 253 nt
Filed under: uncultured bacterium
Lineage: Bacteria
Description: partial 16S ribosomal RNA
Rfam family: Bacterial small subunit ribosomal RNA
Source: RNAcentral
GACGAACCGUACGAACGUUAUUCGGAAUCACUGGGCUUAAAGGGCGCGUAGGCGGGCGACCAAGUCCGGGGUGAAAUCUUUCGGCUCAACCGGAAGAGUGCCUUGGAUACUGGUUGCCUCGAGGGAGGUAGGGGCAUGCGGAACUUCCGGUGGAGCGGUGAAAUGCGUAGAUAUCGGAAGGAACGCCGGUGGCGAAAGCGGCGUGCUGGACCUCUUCUGACGCUGAGGCGCGAAAGCCAGGGGAGCGAACGGG